CGGCGCACGUGACCCGGCGUUGCUAGGAAACGGGAGUGGGGCCUGCGGGGACGCGGCUGGAGCCUGCGCAUUUCUUCCUUCCUGCUUUCAAAGUUGCAAUGAGCGCAGAGCGGUGCGCCCGAGGGGGUUGAAGCGUUGAAAGUGUGUUACCCAGAUUUUAUCUGAGUUAAACACGGGCCGGCCGCUGUGGCUCACGUCUGUACUCCCAGAGCCUUGGGAGGUCGAGGCGGGAAGAUCGCUUGAGCCCGGGAGCUCGAGACCAGACGCGGCAACAUGGCGAGACGCACAUCUCUGCCUUUAAAAAUGUGGCGCGUUUACCCUAUUUUAAAAAAGUUUUAAGUUUUAGCCAACCGGGAUCAGCUUAGAUUGUGGGCGUCCAACCCCAGCCAACAGGGAAAGGACAGAGGAACAGAAGCUCCCUUCCUUUGUCCCGUGUGCUCUGGAGAUUGCAUCCCACGCAGGCAGCCCCCUUCCGUACAAGAGAGGCUGGCGGUUACCUUUCUUGGGGAGACGCGUCCGACUGCUUCAUUGUGGGGGCCUCAGGAGCGGAGGAUCGGGUCCCGCCCGAGGUGACGCGUAAACCCAGACUCUCAGCAACGCGGGUAGGAAGGACCCUUGAAGUUCCGCGGCGACCACGUCGGCUGAAACCAGCAGCCCAGGACAAGUGGACCAGCCAGCAAGACCCAGACCAUCCAAACCGGCUGAUCCUACGACAGGACCCAGAUGCCAGUGAAAGUGACCACAGCCCUGCUCUAGUCACCCCGGAAGCUGACCAGUCUACGCACGGCCGAAGCUUCGUCAAGGAAGUAAAUGUAGUUAGAAAUCUUAAGCCCAGUAAUUUUCCUUGUCAUCUUAAUUGUUUUACUAUUAACCUGUCGCUUUGCUCAACCCCCUCCUCUGGGCAAACAUCUCUUGUCCAUCCUAGGUACAAACAUGCUACUCUUCCCUUUGUUCUUGCUGCUCUCGCUAGAUCUAUGUCAGAAGGAGGGAUAUGCGGAGAGUUUAAUUUAACUAAUUGUUGCCUAAAAAUCGAUGACAAUGAGGAGGACGUCAUGAAUUAAUUGCGAGAAUGCGAGACUUAGCUCAUGUUCCAACACAAACCUGGAAACCGGAAUGGUCUCCAGGUUCCCCCCGCCCCCCCGUGGUUGGUUUUCAUCCCUCGGGGGAUUUAAAACCUUACUAGGAGUAGUUCUGGCCAUACUGGGAGUCCGCCUCGUACUCUUGUCUCUUCCCCUCCUUGUCAAGAAUAUCGACAAAGCCAGAGACGCUCGUGUGGACAGGCCGAGUACCACCGAGCUCAUCCCAUAACUACGUGUCCACCCCUGCCAGGAAAAGAGCUACUUCCCCCUGUAGAAGUAAAUAAAAAAUAGUGAUGCUUUCUAUUAAACCUUAUUUAUAAAAAGCAUCAAGGAGGGAAUAAAGCGGAAAUUGAAGAAACGGAAAAUACCUUUUUCGUAUAAAGCUGACUCGCCCCAAAGCCAGCAACAGGCAAAGCCCCCAGGCAAGGCCUUGAAAACACCAUUUAAAAAGCCAGAACCCCAAGGAAUGCCGCCCAGACGCCUCCCAGCACUGCACUCCCCCCGUGCAAAGAUAAGAACCAGACUCCUCCUUCCGUUUCCCGCUCCCCGUAAAAUACUCUGCCAGUUUUGUAAGCUCCUGUUCUUUCUCAAUGCGGCCGCAAGCUCACAAGCUCGGCUGAGGUUACGAAACCUGUCACUGUACGAUUAACUGCCUCUGUCCUGCGUCUGUAAAUUCACUUUCCCGCACUGCAAGUUUCACGCCGCUGCACGCUUCAAAGUCAAGCCCUUUGUUC
RNAcentral lists this long non-coding RNA (1813 nucleotides) under Homo sapiens (human). RNAcentral describes it as "HSALNT0254053". The record is from RNAcentral. Lineage: Eukaryota; Metazoa; Chordata; Mammalia; Primates; Hominidae.